CAAUUUAUCAAAAACUAAAGAAAAUUACAAAGCAAAUUAGGUUUAAAUAGUAAAAAUAGAACCCUAACUAGAAUGGGCUUGGACCGAUACAAGCCAAAUUACAUAAAUAAGAAUCUAAAACAAAAAUAAAGUCUAACUAGAAAUAAAUAAAAUAGAUAAUGUCCUCCUCAACUCUCUCGGGGUGGGAGAAAAACUCGACCCUGUCGAGUUGAUAAAUCACUGUAGGCUGCAAUAAAUCUGAAACUUCAAAUGCUUCAAGUCAAACCACGGGGGACGAUAUUUCCGACAAAUUGAGUACCGAAAUUCCAUGAAUUAUAGUACUAAAAACUGUAGCUUAUUCCCAAGAACAUGAUCUGGCCAAGAGGGCGGUCUUUCCUUCUAACCAAACACUGAUACAAGACUCCAAAUAACCAAUACUCGUGCACCUCAUCGUCAAAAUUUUCACAUAAUUGUAC
RNAcentral lists this long non-coding RNA (455 nucleotides) under Olea europaea (common olive). RNAcentral's name for it is "long non-coding RNA (OEUR_LNC005540)". The record is from RNAcentral. Lineage: Eukaryota; Viridiplantae; Streptophyta; Magnoliopsida; Lamiales; Oleaceae.